CCUACGGGUGGCAGCAGUGAGGAAUAUUGGUCAAUGGGCGUAAGCCUGAACCAGCCAAGCCGCGUGAGGGAUGAAGGUUCUAUGGAUCGUAAACCCCUUUUAUAAGGGAAUAAAGUGUGGGACGUGUCCUAUCAUGUAUGUACCUUAUGAAUAAGGAACGGCUAACUCCGUGCCAGCCGCAGCGGUAAUACGGAGGAUCCGAGCGUUGUGCGGAUUUAUUGGGUUUAACGGGUGCGUAGGCGGCCUUUUAAGUCAGCUGUGAAAGUCUGUGGCUCAACCAUAGAAUUGCCGUUGAAACUGGAGAGCUUGAGUAUGUUAGAGGAAGGUGGAAUGCGUGGUGUAGCGGUGAAAUGCUUAGAGAUAAUGCAGAACACCGAUGGCGAAGGCAGCCUUCUAGGCCAUGACUGACGCUGAUGCGCGAAAGCGUGGGGAUCAAACAGGAUUAGAUACCCUUGUAGUC
This 460-nucleotide ribosomal RNA is filed under the name uncultured bacterium. RNAcentral describes it as "partial 16S ribosomal RNA". It matches the Rfam family "Bacterial small subunit ribosomal RNA", at positions 338 to 795 of the family's 1533-position model. The record is from RNAcentral.